Molecule: ribosomal RNA, 449 nt
Filed under: uncultured bacterium
Lineage: Bacteria
Description: partial 16S ribosomal RNA
Rfam family: Bacterial small subunit ribosomal RNA
Source: RNAcentral
AGCGAACGCUGGCGGCAGGCCUAACACAUGCAAGUCGAACGAAGUCUUCGGACUUAGUGGCGGACGGGUGAGUAACACGUGGGAACGUACCUUUUGGUUCGGAACAACUCAGGGAAACUUGAGCUAAUACCGGAUAAGCCCUUCGGGGGAAAGAUUUAUCGCCAUUAGAGCGGCCCGCGUUAGAUUAGCUAGUUGGUAAGGUAAAGGCUCACCAAGGCUACGAUCUAUAGCUGGUCUGAGAGGAUGAUCGGCCACACUGGGACUGAGACACGGCCCAGACUCCUACGGGAGGCAGCAGUGGGGAAUCUUGCGCAAUGGGCGAAAGCCUGACGCAGCCAUGCCGCGUGAAUGAUGAAGGUCUUAGGAUUGUAAAAUUCUUUUACCAGGGACGAUAAUGACGGUACCUGGAGAAAAAGCCCCGGCUAACUUCGUGCCAGCCGCCGCCGUAA